GCAACUGUAAUUUAAUGGUAAAAUAUUCGUCUUCCACAUGAAUUUUAUCGGUUCGAUUCCGAUUAGUUGUA
This 71-nucleotide transfer RNA is filed under the name Ophiostoma ips. Its description in RNAcentral is "tRNA-Gly". It matches the Rfam family "tRNA". From Rfam's summary of the family: Transfer RNA (tRNA) molecules are approximately 80 nucleotides in length. Their secondary structure includes four short double-helical elements and three loops (D, anti-codon, and T loops). The record is from RNAcentral. Lineage: Eukaryota; Fungi; Ascomycota; Sordariomycetes; Ophiostomatales; Ophiostomataceae. RNAcentral also lists the same sequence under 3 other names.